AACGAACGCUGGCGGCAUGCCUAACACAUGCAAGUCGAACGAUCCCUUCGGGGCUAGUGGCGCACGGGUGCGUAACGCGUGGGAACCUGCCCUUAGGUUCGGAAUAACUCACAGAAAUUUGAGCUAAUACCGGAUAAUGUCUUCGGACCAAAGAUUUAUCGCCUUUGGAUGGGCCCGCGUUGGAUUAGCUAGUUGGUGGGGUAAAGGCCUACCAAGGCGACGAUCCAUAGCUGGUCUGAGAGGAUGAUCAGCCACACUGGGACUGAGACACGGCCCAGACUCCUACGGGAGGCAGCAGUGGGGAAUAUUGGACAAUGGGCGAAAGCCUGAUCCAGCAAUGCCGCGUGAGUGAUGAAGGCCUUAGGGUUGUAAAGCUCUUUUACCCGGGAUGAUAAUGACAGUACCGGGAGAAUAAGCCCCGGCUAACUCCGUG
Molecule: ribosomal RNA, 433 nt
Filed under: uncultured bacterium
Lineage: Bacteria
Description: partial 16S ribosomal RNA
Rfam family: Bacterial small subunit ribosomal RNA
Source: RNAcentral